Molecule: long non-coding RNA, 206 nt
Filed under: Gossypium raimondii (Peruvian cotton)
Lineage: Eukaryota; Viridiplantae; Streptophyta; Magnoliopsida; Malvales; Malvaceae
Description: long non-coding RNA (GRAI_LNC001510)
Source: RNAcentral
UGCAUUAUUUCUGAUUGUUCUAGAUAAAAAAUUGAAAAAAAAAUUAUUAUUAUUUAGUUCUAUAUUGAUUGGGCUUGAACAGUUAAAUUUAUAUUUUUAGAAGAAGCUCGUUUUUAUUCUUGAAUAGUUCUUGAUUUAUGCACGUGUUUUUAAUUUAACAUUUUUUUUAUUUUUUCUAGUUUGGUAAUUUAUCAAUUCAAUCUUGA